UCCCAGAGGAGGAGGAGCCCGCACUUUCAUUCUGAUCUUUUUCAAACUGGACUUCCUCUCUAUCUGAUCUUUUUUCAAAGUGGAUUUCUCAUUUAGACUUAUCACCAUUAGAACUUCAGAGAACUGAUUAUGUCAACGUAGACACAAUAUAGGAUAUAACUUGCUGCAUUAUCAGUAUGCGUGUAGUUGGUCCAUCCAGCCAGGAAACCAAAUAAGAACACUUGUCAUGUAUGCAAGUAAAAUUAUGAAAGACAGAUUAUCAGUAUACGUGUAGUUGGCUAAUAUAGUCAAAGCAACAAGGACAAUUUAUAUUUGGAAGACAGAUUCAAAACUGGACCAUUGUAGGAACUGAGAAGGCAUGCCAUUCUGAAUAAAAAUUAGCACAUACAUGUCUUUGAGAGAAGAUGUGAUGGCUGCAACCUGCAGGUUCUGAUGUUUACGUUGUCUUCCCAAAAAAGCUUUAUUUGACAAAACAGGUAAUGUUAGUAGUAAAACAGAAGCAAACACUAAGACAGAAAUUUCUUACAAAGCAGCAACAUUUCUCCAUUAGUUAACUCAGGUCUAAUCGGAGCAGAGGAAGCCAAGCUUUGUGGAACAAUCACUCGAUUGCUUCCUGCUUCCAUAGUCGAAGAGGAAAUGCAUGACACCGGUGGGGAAUGAGUAGGUUGUCAGAUUCAACGCGCGUAGGGAGGGUGGCUGCCGUCAGAAAUGUCGCGGAAUCGACAGAGCACGUGGUGAAGGAUCUCGAUGAGGUACACAGCGGUGGUCGUGGAAAUCCCAAUUUGGGUUAGAGUAAUUAGGCUAUGUAAAACGGUUACCUGGAGAGGAUUUGGGCAUCGCUGAACUCCUUCGUCUUGCCGCCGCUCGCAAUCGUCACUGCAAAACAACACCGCCGCAUCUGGGACGGGUGGCCUUCCCCAGCUCCCGAUCUGGCCGGGACCAUUCCGGCACGUCCGAGAACGCGGCGUCCACCACGCUGACGGCGACAUGGCUGGGAGAGCAGGCGGAGGGACCGGCAGCUAUGGACCGGAGGUGCGCGGAUCAGCGUGGCGGCGGUGUGUUAGGAGAGCGGCGGCGGCUAGGUCGAUCCAGGCUUCGGCUUCGGCAAGAUGUGGCGGGCAGCGGAUGAGAGGCGCGAUGGAGGGUUAGGAGAGAAGAGAUUUGAGAAGAGAUGCGGGCUUCCUCCGUGGGGAGCGGCAAUGAAUCGGGGGCACGGGGGCGGAGCUGCGGAGGGCUCCGGUUUUUUUCCUCUGAUUGGUUUUUCUUUCGCGUGCGAGGGAGGCAGACGAGGGAGGAGGAGGA
RNAcentral lists this long non-coding RNA (1302 nucleotides) under Brachypodium distachyon (stiff brome). RNAcentral's name for it is "long non-coding RNA (BDIS_LNC005207)". Lineage: Eukaryota; Viridiplantae; Streptophyta; Magnoliopsida; Poales; Poaceae. The record is from RNAcentral.